This 1384-nucleotide ribosomal RNA is filed under the name Pseudomonas sp. Its description in RNAcentral is "bacterial SSU rRNA". It matches the Rfam family "Bacterial small subunit ribosomal RNA". The record is from RNAcentral. Lineage: Bacteria; Pseudomonadati; Pseudomonadota; Gammaproteobacteria; Pseudomonadales; Pseudomonadaceae.
GUCGAGCGGUAGAGAGAAGCUUGCUUCUCUUGAGAGCGGCGGACGGGUGAGUAAUGCCUAGGAAUCUGCCUGGUAGUGGGGGAUAACGUUCGGAAACGGACGCUAAUACCGCAUACGUCCUACGGGAGAAAGCAGGGGACCUUCGGGCCUUGCGCUAUCAGAUGAGCCUAGGUCGGAUUAGCUAGUUGGUGAGGUAAUGGCUCACCAAGGCGACGAUCCGUAACUGGUCUGAGAGGAUGAUCAGUCACACUGGAACUGAGACACGGUCCAGACUCCUACGGGAGGCAGCAGUGGGGAAUAUUGGACAAUGGGCGAAAGCCUGAUCCAGCCAUGCCGCGUGUGUGAAGAAGGUCUUCGGAUUGUAAAGCACUUUAAGUUGGGAGGAAGGGCAUUAACCUAAUACGUUAGUGUUUUGACGUUACCGACAGAAUAAGCACCGGCUAACUCUGUGCCAGCAGCCGCGGUAAUACAGAGGGUGCAAGCGUUAAUCGGAAUUACUGGGCGUAAAGCGCGCGUAGGUGGUUUGUUAAGUUGGAUGUGAAAUCCCCGGGCUCAACCUGGGAACUGCAUUCAAAACUGACUGACUAGAGUAUGGUAGAGGGUGGUGGAAUUUCCUGUGUAGCGGUGAAAUGCGUAGAUAUAGGAAGGAACACCAGUGGCGAAGGCGACCACCUGGACUAAUACUGACACUGAGGUGCGAAAGCGUGGGGAGCAAACAGGCCCUGGUAGUCCACGCCGUAAAACGAUGUCAACUAGCCGUUGGGAGCCUUGAGCUCUUAGUGGCGCAGCUAACGCAUUAAGUUGACCGCCUGGGGAGUACGGCCGCAAGGUUAAAACUCAAAUGAAUUGACGGGGGCCCGCACAAGCGGUGGAGCAUGUGGUUUAAUUCGAAGCAACGCGAAGAACCUUACCAGGCCUUGACAUCCAAUGAACUUUCUAGAGAUAGAUUGGUGCCUUCGGGAACAUUGAGACAGGUGCUGCAUGGCUGUCGUCAGCUCGUGUCGUGAGAUGUUGGGUUAAGUCCCGUAACGAGCGCAACCCUUGUCCUUAGUUACCAGCACGUAAUGGUGGGCACUCUAAGGAGACUGCCGGUGACAAACCGGAGGAAGGUGGGGAUGACGUCAAGUCAUCAUGGCCCUUACGGCCUGGGCUACACACGUGCUACAAUGGUCGGUACAGAGGGUUGCCAAGCCGCGAGGUGGAGCUAAUCCCACAAAACCGAUCGUAGUCCGGAUCGCAGUCUGCAACUCGACUGCGUGAAGUCGGAAUCGCUAGUAAUCGCGAAUCAGAAUGUCGCGGUGAAUACGUUCCCGGGCCUUGUACACACCGCCCGUCACACCAUGGCAGUGGGUUGCACCAGAAGUAGCUAGUCUAACCUUCGGGA